GGCGAACGCUGGCGGCGUGCUUAACACAUGCAAGUCGAACGGAAAGGCCCUGCUUUUGUGGGGUGCUCGAGUGGCGAACGGGUGAGUAACACGUGAGUAACCUGCCCUUGACUUUGGGAUAACUUCAGGAGACUGGGGCUAAUACCGGAUAGGAGCUCCUGCUGCAUGGUGGGGGUUGGAAAGUUUCGGCGGUUGGGGAUGGACUCGCGGCUUAUCAGCUUGUUGGUGGGGUAGUGGCUUACCAAGGCUUUGACGGGUAGCCGGCCUGAGAGGGUGACCGGCCACAUUGGGACUGAGAUACGGCCCAGACUCCUACGGGAGGCAGCAGUGGGGAAUAUUGCACAAUGGGCGGAAGCCUGAUGCAGCAACGCCGCGUGCGGGAUGACGGCCUUCGGGUUGUAAACCGCUUUCGCCUGUGACGAAGCGUGAGUGACGGUAAUGGGUAAAGAAGCACCGGCUAACUACGUG
Molecule: ribosomal RNA, 468 nt
Filed under: uncultured bacterium
Lineage: Bacteria
Description: partial 16S ribosomal RNA
Rfam family: Bacterial small subunit ribosomal RNA
Source: RNAcentral